Molecule: long non-coding RNA, 698 nt
Filed under: Mytilus galloprovincialis (Mediterranean mussel)
Lineage: Eukaryota; Metazoa; Mollusca; Bivalvia; Mytilida; Mytilidae
Source: RNAcentral
GGGGUGGGGAUCUGGACCGUUUACAAGUUCUCAAACAAGAGGGGGGUGGGGUGACUCCCUAGGGACUUCUCUUUUAUUUCAUUGCAUUUGUUUUAUUGUCCCUACAAUAAUAUAGAUGGUUAAGGGAUGGGGAUCUGGACCGUUUACUAGUUAAUAGCACGUUCUCAAAUUGAAUGGGGUGGGGGUGACCCCCCAUGACAUUCCCAUUAGUUUUAUUUCAUUUGUUUUAUUGUCCCUUUCAAGAAUAUAUAUGGUUUAGGGUGGGGAUCUGAAUGGUUUACAAAAUAAUAGCAUAUUCUCAAAUUGAAAGGGGUGGGGGUGACCCCCAUGGACUUCCCUUUUCUUACAUUUGAUUUGUUUUAUUGUCCUCUACAAGAAUAUAUAUGGUUUAGGGGUGGGGAUCUGAACCGUUUACAAGAUAAUAGCACAUUCUCAAAUUGAAUGGGGUGGGGUGACCCCCCGGGACUUCCUAUUAGUUUCAUUUGAUUUGUUUUAUUGUCCCAUUCAAGAAUAUAUAUGGUUUAGGGGUGGAGAUCUGGGUCGUUUACAAGAUAAUAGCAUAUUCUCAAAUUGAAGGGGGUGGGGAUGACCCCCAUGGGACUUGCCCUAUAUUUUAUGCAAUUUGUUUUGUUGUCCUUUGAGCAUUUCUGAAGACUGCAUGUGUCUAUCACUUAUAAUUUUCAAGUUAUAUUCUUUUG